AUUAAUAAAUGAGCCUGUGACCCAAAUUGCCUUUCUCGCUUCCAUCUUCCCCACCUGCGAAACAAUUUUCUUGUUCUUCUUCACAGUUCACAGAACUGAAAUCGGACUCCGGCGAACUCCAGUGGCACCAAUACUGAUCUGGUGAGGGAAUUCUUUGUUUUGGCUGAAAAUCUUUUGGGAGGUAUCUCUCCAGUUAUGCUUUCUUUUGUUUUCAAAUUUGGUUAUGCCGAAACUGAUUUUGUGGAAAAGAUAAAGAUAAAAUCUUGAAGAUAAAGUUUGGAUAACAACCUUGAGGAAAAAGAUAGAAACAAAUCAACAAGAAGUUGGAGCCGAAAGAAAAGACUAUAUAAGGACGACAAAAGGAACAAAGGAAGUACAGAAAAAGAGAUAUCCAUUCCGAGAGUAUCAAGAUCCCGAGGAGCACGAGUAGCGCACUUUGGACGGCGACGACUUGUGAAGGCAUCAUUUGUGUACGGAUAAAUAAUCUUAUUUUGUACGUUUUGGUUUGUGGAAACGGUUGUGUUUAAUUGUGUGUUUGGACAAGUGUUGUUUUUGAGAAACGUGUGAUGAUCUUAUUCCGCUGCGUGUUUGUAUUUAAAAACGAUUUUAAAUUUCCGUACUUUUGGUUU
Molecule: long non-coding RNA, 629 nt
Organism: Tarenaya hassleriana
Lineage: Eukaryota; Viridiplantae; Streptophyta; Magnoliopsida; Brassicales; Cleomaceae
Exons: 3
Source: RefSeq, a predicted model, not a curated record